UAAAAAUAUAUAAACAUAUGGAAAAAAGCUGUACACUGUACAAGCUUAAAUGGGUGAAUUGUAUGAUAGGGAUGAAUCGUAUAUCUCAGUAAAGCUAUUACCAAAAAAAAGAAAGAAAGAAAGAAAAAAAAGUGGGGAGCAAGAAGGGCAGAAAAGAUGAAAUUUUAGACAUCAAGUAAAUCAAUCACUGUAUUUUAAAAUUGGAAUCACUUUAAAACGUUACUAAAAACAUCAUUUCAACAAACAACGAAAAUAGCAAUAAAAACUACCAUUUAGCUAGCCUGUACUAUUCACCAUGAACUUUUUUUGCACACUGAAUCUCAAACUCCCCUGGCCUUCAGAUAUUGUCCAUUUCCAUUAUGCAGUUAAAUAAGAGUCAAGUCAUAACUUGCUUGUGGUCAUACAGAAAACCAAUGGAACCAGAACACGUACCCAAGCUUACCUGAAGUCUAAGCUAUGCUCUUUCCCCUACAUUAUGACAUCGUGAUAAAGAGACAGAAUCACAUUUUCUCGACCAGGCACAUGCCCAAGGGCAAUUACUACAUGAGUAAUUUGGGUAUACAGUAGGAAAAAGCACUGACCCAAUGUCGUGGCACCUGUAUUGCAUGAGGUUUUCACUCAUUCUUUAAACAGAGAUUCCCUGAAAGUCUACAAUCCGCAAAGUAAAGAGAUGGCUGUUGACAUUUUUUCAGCAGGUUCACAAUGUGGUGAAGAAUUCCAUCACUAACAGCUUGAAGGACCUCAACUUCCAGGCUGGAAGUGAUACACUUCUGCCUCAUGAACAAAAACAGCCCAGCCGUCUAAAUCUCCCGCUCGUCUUCCUCUUCAGAUUUGUGAGACUUUAAAUGUGAAGAUAUUUAUUUCUGUUCUGCAGGGCCAGUUUCUGAAUGCAGAAGGAAGAGAAGGAGCAAACGAGAGCAGGCAGCAGGCAGAAGACAGCUUAGUCAUCUUGCCCUGUAUCCCAAAGGAGCUUCGAACCAGCAAGGUGCAAGCAGGAACAGAAAAAUGCUUCACGGACAGUAGUAAUCAAGCAAAAACUGAAAGAUUGGCAUAAAAAAACAAAUACUUUUUUUUUUUAAGUUACAGGCACAAUUUUCAGGGUGCCAGGAAGCACUUGAACAUGCCUUGCUAUCUUUAAAAGCAUUUUUCUAUUAUAGCCCAAGUGAAAACAACAGCUAAAAUAAAACAUUUAUAAUGAUCCCAACCCCGAACACUAUUUUUUACAACUUUAUCGAGUUUUAUAUCAUAAAAUUCACCCGUUUCAAGUGCACAAUUCAAUGAUUCUUAGUAAAUUUACUGAGUGGUACAACUAUCACCAUAAUCAGUGUUAGAGUAUUUUCAUGACCCUAAUAAGAUCUCUAACGUGUAUUUACAUCCACCCCCAU
Molecule: long non-coding RNA, 1385 nt
Organism: Felis catus (domestic cat)
Lineage: Eukaryota; Metazoa; Chordata; Mammalia; Carnivora; Felidae
Exons: 3
Source: RefSeq, a predicted model, not a curated record